RNAcentral lists this long non-coding RNA (233 nucleotides) under Gallus gallus (chicken). The record is from RNAcentral. Lineage: Eukaryota; Metazoa; Chordata; Aves; Galliformes; Phasianidae.
GCUGUGAAGUUAUUCCAGUGUCCCCAGAAUCAUCGCUAUCAUAAAAGCAAGCAGAAGCUUCCUCACUGUCUUCUGAUGAUAACUUGCUUGUUCUCUCUAUUUCAUCAUCAUCAUCUUCAUCCAAGGUAAAAUCCUGGUUAUUGAGGUGCUGGUUGAAACGUGUCUGUGCAAGUUUUCGCUUUUCUGAGUUCCCUCUUUUCUCACUAGGCACCGGGUAGACCGGAGCACUCUGC